GCCACUUUAGCUCAGCAGGUAGAGCAUCACCAUGGUAAGGUGGGGGUCACCGGUUCAAAUCCGGUAAGUGGCU
RNAcentral lists this transfer RNA (73 nucleotides) under Ligilactobacillus ubinensis. It matches the Rfam family "tRNA". Rfam says of the family: Transfer RNA (tRNA) molecules are approximately 80 nucleotides in length. Their secondary structure includes four short double-helical elements and three loops (D, anti-codon, and T loops). Further hydrogen bonds mediate the characteristic L-shaped molecular structure. tRNAs have two regions of fundamental functional importance: the anti-codon, which is responsible for specific mRNA codon recognition, and the 3' end, to which the tRNAs corresponding amino acid is attached (by aminoacyl-tRNA synthetases). tRNAs cope with the degeneracy of the genetic code in two manners: having more than one tRNA (with a specific anti-codon) for a particular amino acid; and 'wobble' base-pairing, i.e. permitting non-standard base-pairing at the 3rd anti-codon position. Lineage: Bacteria; Bacillati; Bacillota; Bacilli; Lactobacillales; Lactobacillaceae. The record is from Rfam by way of RNAcentral.